UACGUAGGGGGCUAGCGUUGUCCGGAAUCAUUGGGCGUAACGCGCGUGUAGGCGGCCCGGUAAGUCCGCUGUGAAAGUCGGGGGCUCAACCCUCGAAUGCCGGUGGAUACUGUCGGGCUAGAGUACGGAAGAGGCGAGUGGAAUUCCUGGUGUAGCGGUGAAAUGCGCAGAUAUCAGGAGGAACACCAAUUGCGAAGGCAGCUCGCUGGGACGUCACUGACGCUGAGACGCGAAAGCGUGGGGAGCAAACAGG
This 253-nucleotide ribosomal RNA is filed under the name uncultured bacterium. Its description in RNAcentral is "partial 16S ribosomal RNA". It matches the Rfam family "Bacterial small subunit ribosomal RNA", at positions 524 to 776 of the family's 1533-position model. The record is from RNAcentral.